This 256-nucleotide ribosomal RNA is filed under the name uncultured bacterium. RNAcentral's name for it is "partial 16S ribosomal RNA". It matches the Rfam family "Bacterial small subunit ribosomal RNA", at positions 524 to 776 of the family's 1533-position model. The record is from RNAcentral.
UACGUAGGGUGCAAGCGUUGUCCGGAAUUAUUGGGCGUAAAGAGCUCGUAGGCGGUCUGUCGCGUCGGCUGUGAAAACCCGGAGCUCAACUCCGGGCCUGCAGUCGAUACGGGCAAACUGGAGUACUGCAGGGGAGACUGGAAUUCCUGGUGUAGCGGUGAAAUGCGCAGAUAUCAGGAGGAACACCGGUGGCGAAGGCGGGGUCUCUGGGCAGUAACUGACGCUGAGGAGCGAAAAGCGUGGGGGAGCGAACAGG